Numida meleagris (helmeted guineafowl) is the source of this 1248-nucleotide long non-coding RNA. RefSeq lists it as uncharacterized. The transcript has 4 exons. The record is from RefSeq and is a predicted model, not a curated record. NCBI's taxonomy places the organism in Eukaryota, Metazoa, Chordata, Aves, Galliformes, Numididae.
AGGAACUGCAAAACACAAAGAACUGUCAUUGAGGUGUGUAUGGGAACUGUUGAGUCACGGCCUGAGCCACUGAUUGAGCACCUGGAGGAAAGACCCAGUCAGCCCUGGGAGCACAGGUGAAGGCAAUUCACCUGAAGCCAGGCUCCACCCCUCAUUUAAGGACUGAUUGACACUUGGGGAGGAUCUCUAGAAAGAGAUGUCUCCUUUAUGGAGCUUUUCCCUGUGACCCCAGAAUCUUCCGAUGGGUGUCAGAUUUUGAAUGAAAUACCUUAAGGAAAUGAGAACAUCAGACUCAGCAUUGUUUUGUGCUUGUGUCUCAGCUACUGCUGAAGACAUAGUUAGCAGUCACCACAAGUGACUGGGUGCUUUCCAGGAUCAACAGUAUAUGCUGCAGCAUAUCAAAUUUUGCAGAGGAGCUUAAAAGCAGAUGAGAAAAAGAAUUCUCCAUGCAAAUGGGAGAAGAAUUUUCAGUCCUCUGGAGAAUCCCAGGUACAUCAACUCAGUUAAGAAUGCUGGCAGAAAUUUUUGGAAGAAUGGGGCAUGUCCAGUAUACCAUUGCUCUCCAUCAUUUCCAGCCAAUGGAGAAACCACUGGCUCCAGGGACAGCAUGGAACAACUGUGGGGCACUUCAGUGAGAGGGACGGGUAGGCUGGGUGGUUAGGCAACCUAACAGCUCAAAUGACUGAUGCUGGCAUUAGAGAACAUUUAGAGUCUUUGCAUCAUGCACUGCAAAUAUAAAGACAAACCAAAGAAUAAAAAUUUUGAAUUUGUCAGAAAAAUAAUUUGGUAUUAUGCUUCUUCUGUAUCCUUUACAUCAAUUUAAUUUACCCACAAGAAAAUGUAUAUUGUGUUUUCCAUGUAUUUGCAUAUAUACCUGUAUAGUAGCGUGUAUUAAUGCAUAAAUUUAUGUACGUUUCUUUACAAAAGACUCACAGUGAAGUACUCCACAAAUUGUUAAGAAUGUAACAUUUAGCCUCAUGGUUAAAAUGACGUAACUGAAAUCACAAUUAUGUACAUAAAUACACUGAGGUAAAGAGAGAGAAAUCUUUCAAUAUUUCAAUUUUCCUAGCAGAUGGUAAAAAGUACUUAGAGAUGAUAACUCUUCCUAGAUGUGCUAGCAUAUGCUGCAGAAUUGCGCAUACAGAAAAGACUCACUCAUUGCAAAUCUCCCAGGAGCUAUCACAAACAAAGCACAUCAAUUAAUAUUUGCUUAUUAUGUGACUGUGUGUAUGUGGCAAUUUUCUAUUU